AACGAACGCUGGCGGCAUGCCUAACACAUGCAAGUCGAACGAACCCUUCGGGUCUUGUCGCGCACGGGUUCGUAACGCGUGGGAACCUUCCCUUAGGUUUGAAAUACCUCCCCGAAAGGGGUACUAAUACCGGACAAUAUCUUAUACCGAAAGAUUUAUCGCAUUGGUAUGGGCGCACGUUGGAUUAGCUAGUUGGUAGGGUAAAAGCCUGCCAAGGCGACGAUCCAUAGCUGGUCUGAGAGAAUGAUCAGCAACACUGGGACUGAGACGCGGCCCAGACUCCUACGGAAGGGAGGAGUGGGGAAUAUUGGAAAAUGGGCGAAAGCCUGAUCCAGCAAUGACCGGUGAGUGAUGAAGGUAUUAGGGUUGUAAAGCUCUUUUAACCGGGAUGAUAAUGACAGUACCGGGAGAAUAAGCCCCGGCUAACUACGUG
This 433-nucleotide ribosomal RNA is filed under the name uncultured bacterium. RNAcentral's name for it is "partial 16S ribosomal RNA". It matches the Rfam family "Bacterial small subunit ribosomal RNA", at positions 29 to 507 of the family's 1533-position model. The record is from RNAcentral.